CGAAAGCCUGACGGAGCAAUACCGCGUGAGGGAGGAAGGCUCUUGGGUUGUAAACCUCUUUUCUCAGGGAAUAACAAAAUGAAGGUACCUGAGGAAUCAGCAUCGGCUAACUCCGUGCCAGCAGCCGCGGUAAUACGGAGGAUGCAAGCGUUAUCCGGAAUUAUUGGGCGUAAAGCGUCCGCAGGCGGCUCAGCAAGUCUGCUGUCAAAGAGCGGGGCUCAACUCCGUAAAGGCAGUGGAAACUGCUGGGCUAGAGUAUGGUAGGGGCAGAGGGAAUUCCUGGUGUAGCGGUGAAAUGCGUAGAGAUCAGGAAGAACAUCGGUGGCGAAGGCGCUCUGCUGGACCAUAACUGACACUCAGGGACGAAAGCUAGGGGAGCG
This 380-nucleotide ribosomal RNA is filed under the name uncultured Brasilonema sp. RNAcentral's name for it is "bacterial SSU rRNA". It matches the Rfam family "Bacterial small subunit ribosomal RNA", at positions 376 to 770 of the family's 1533-position model. The record is from RNAcentral. Lineage: Bacteria; Bacillati; Cyanobacteriota; Cyanophyceae; Nostocales; Scytonemataceae.